UUCUCAAACACGCAUUAUUCAAAAACCCUAAUUAUCAUCUUCUUCAAUUCUCUGGCGAUUUCAUACUUCUUCAGUUGUCUCAAACACAAAAACUCUAAUCAAGGUAUCUUUAUCAUCUUCAACUUGCUUUCAGAUCUUGAAGUUUUAUUCACGAUUAAUUUCCUUUUCAUUUUUCAAGUUUUCAUCUUCUUUCCUAUUUGAAGUUUUCCUUUUCCCUUUCCAAAACCCUAAGUUCAACCAUGGCCGCACACCUCUUUCAGUUUUAAAUAUCCUCAAAGUUCAUCGCUAUCGAUCUCCUUCUUCAGUUUUAUCAUCAAUCAAAGUUCAUCGCUGUUGAUCUCCUUCUUCACAUGAAUCUUCAGUUUUAUCAUCAAUUUCUGUAAAUGAUUUUCGAACGAAUAGGAUUAUAAAACGUGGUUAUUAUCAUCAUCAUCAUCCUUUGAUUUUGUAAGAUUUGUAUUCAACCUUCCUUUGUUUAAAAUGCCGAUCGAAGAAUAAGGAUUGGAAAAGCAUAGACGUCUUCCAUCCCAAACCAACCAUAUCAAAAAUCGCCCAGUUACGGAGAAGGUAGUAGUGGUCGGAAAGUACUUGAUAUUGAUCUGAAUGAGGUUCGGGUCGGUACGAUGGAAGAAGAUGAAGGUGGGAAUGGGAAUGGGUAUGCUUCUUCAUCAUAUAACUCAAAUAUAGGCGAGGUUAAAGGUACCCAAUAUGUUUAUGUUUAUGUUUAACGCAUUUGUGAAAAAAAGUAGAUUGAUAUGCAUAUGUACUAGGAAUAUACUGGAGUUCAAACUGGGAAUUUGUCAAGUCUAAUAAAAGAUAAAUCAAUCACCAGCUGAGUUUUUUGUACCUUUGAUUGCAAUUUUGUGACAGGUAUUAUUGUGAUCACUGUUUUUUUCUUGAUCCAUAAUCAUAUUUAGCUUAGAAUUUUGAACUAUGAGUUUUGGUUUAUAUUUAACAUGAAAACAAAAAGUCACUUAGUGUUUUUGUGUUUAUGCAUAUAAGGUUGGUGACCAAGAUGAAAAGCUGGCAGAAGGUAUCAAGCUUUAUGCUAUACCAACCACUUCAACUAGAAAGCGUGAGAUAUAAAGAGUUGCGAGGACUGGACAAUUCGGUUUUCCACGUAUCGAUUUUACCAUUCGGUUUUCCAGUCCCAUAAACGGCAUUAUAGAUAAGAAUGCAAAGAUUGGAAAUGAUGUGGUGAUAAUGAAUAAAGAUGUGGAAAGUGGUCAUGUAGCAGCACGUUAUAAUCAUCGUUUUCAUCCGUGUGAAGAAAAUUCAUAGUUGAGGAGUGGCAUACGCCAUUAAAUCACGUACAUGGAGCAAAGGCUUGGUUUUCAGUUUCUGAUUGGUCAAGACCCCAUUUAGCUCUGUAUUGAACCUGUAGAUUCGACUCAGGUAUUUGUGUUCUCUAUUUUUUUAGAUGUGGGGUCCUAUCCGGUUAUUAGCCUUUAUUACCGUAAAGGUGUCUACAAGGUAGUUGCGGUUCCAUUCACGCCAGCUUUGAUGUUAUAUUAUAUGUUAUAUAAUGAUUAAUGAUGUCAAAUUCAAGAGAUAUAUGCAUAUGUGCAACUAUCACCGAGGGUGAAUUUUGGAUAACUUGCCAAGUUAAGUUCUACUCAAAAUAGAUUGGUUUUGCACUAC
This 1641-nucleotide long non-coding RNA is filed under the name Helianthus annuus (common sunflower). Its description in RNAcentral is "sRNA HanXRQr2_Chr11g0473121". Lineage: Eukaryota; Viridiplantae; Streptophyta; Magnoliopsida; Asterales; Asteraceae. The record is from RNAcentral.